UCCCCGGUGGCUCAGAUGGUAAAGCGCCUGCCUGCAAUGCAGGAGGCCCAGGUUCAGUUCCUGGGUUGGGAA
RNAcentral lists this transfer RNA (72 nucleotides) under Ovis aries (sheep). It matches the Rfam family "tRNA". From Rfam's summary of the family: Transfer RNA (tRNA) molecules are approximately 80 nucleotides in length. The record is from Rfam by way of RNAcentral. Lineage: Eukaryota; Metazoa; Chordata; Mammalia; Artiodactyla; Bovidae.